GGGUCAAUUUGACUCAGUGGUAGAACUUGUGUUUAGCAUGCACAGGCCCUGGGUUCAAUCCCUAGUGCCCCG
This 72-nucleotide transfer RNA is filed under the name Marmota monax (woodchuck). RNAcentral's name for it is "tRNA.Ala". The record is from RNAcentral. Lineage: Eukaryota; Metazoa; Chordata; Mammalia; Rodentia; Sciuridae.